Molecule: long non-coding RNA, 984 nt
Filed under: Marmota monax (woodchuck)
Lineage: Eukaryota; Metazoa; Chordata; Mammalia; Rodentia; Sciuridae
Source: RNAcentral
CAUAGUAUGGAAGUCCUGGCCAGAACAAUUAGGCCAGAAAAAGAAAAGUUAUUCAAAUUGGAGAUGAAUAAAAACCACCUCCCAGAAAACAUAUCUUAUAUGAAGAAAAUACUUAAAAUUCCACAGAAAACCCUGUUAGACCAAUAAGCAAUGUUGCAGAUACUCCAAAUCCGUUACAUUUCUGCACACCAGAAAUAACCAGUCUGAAGGUCAUAGUAUGAUUAUCUGACUGUAUACCAAAAAUUGCAUGAGUGCUGUGCAAUUGAAAGCCACCAAGGCUUGCCACUGUUGCCGGGACUUGCAGGGUGCCCGUGAAGGAGUUAACUGACACUCCAGGGGCCAUUACAUCUCAGCAACAAAGAGAACAUGUCACCACCUAUUAAGUUUGUACAAGAGUUGGGUGGGAUGAAGCCUGGGUGGACAGGAGCCAAAGCCUGAGGAAUUCUAAUAUUUUCAACAUUUUUUAUUUCACUGUAUUGUCUUCUGAGUUGACUGUGGUCAGAUACCUGCCCCCCCCCCCAUUAUUUGAUAUUGAUAUCCAGUUUUAUGUUUUUAAAAUGUUUAUUUGGAUUUAUUCUUGAUUUUUUUUUCUAAUUUUUUUACUCUGUCCUUUUGGGAGAGACUCAGAAUUUAUGAGUAUGAAGUUUGAAUCCUGAAUCUUUGAGCCUUGAUAUCCUUUCUUCUGCUUGAUCUAGUCUAAUGGUGACACUUGAUUACAUUUGAAUUACUAGUUUUUGUUUUUUUUAUUUCUAAGGUUUCUAUUUGUUUCUUUUUCAGAGUAUCGAAGUAUUCUUUCACUUCCUGUUUUUUUCUUCCCUUUAUUCUUCUUUUAAUUCAUUGACUGCUUUGAUCAUCAGCUUUUAAAAUUCUUUGUCCAGCACUUCGUCUUCAAUAUCUCUGGGUUCAAUUACUGGGAAGUUAAAAACCUUUGGAAGGAUCUUAUUACCUUGUUUUCUGUGUUUCUUUGUUGAGAUUUGUGUAUCU